AUUGAACGCUGGCGGAAUGCUUUACACAUGCAAGUCGAACGGCAGCACGGGGCAACCUGGUGGCGAGUGGCGAACGGGUGAGUAAUAUAUCGGAACGUGCCCAAUCGUGGGGGAUAACGUAGCGAAAGUUACGCUAAUACCGCAUACGAUCUACGGAUGAAAGCGGGGGAUCGCAAGACCUCGCGCGAAUGGAGCGGCCGAUAUCAGAUUAGGUUGUUGGUGAGGUAAAGGCUCACCAAGCCGACGAUCUGUAGCUGGUCUGAGAGGACGACCAGCCACACUGGGACUGAGACACGGCCCAGACUCCUACGGGAGGCAGCAGUGGGGAAUUUUGGACAAUGGGCGCAAGCCUGAUCCAGCAAUGCCGCGUGCAGGACGAAGGCCUUCGGGUUGUAAACUGCUUUUGUACGGAACGAAAAGCCUUCUUCUAAUACAGGAGGGUCAUGACGGUACCGUAAGAAUAAGCACCGGCUAACUACGUGCCAGCAGCCGCGGUAA
Molecule: ribosomal RNA, 498 nt
Filed under: uncultured bacterium
Lineage: Bacteria
Description: bacterial SSU rRNA
Rfam family: Bacterial small subunit ribosomal RNA
Source: RNAcentral